RNAcentral lists this ribosomal RNA (160 nucleotides) under uncultured bacterium. Its description in RNAcentral is "partial 16S ribosomal RNA". It matches the Rfam family "Bacterial small subunit ribosomal RNA", at positions 355 to 507 of the family's 1533-position model. The record is from RNAcentral.
UGGGGAAUUUUGGACAAUGGACGCAAGUCUGAUCCAGCCAUUCCGCGUGCAGGAUGAAGGCCCUCGGGUUGUAAACUGCUUUUGUACGGAACGAAAAGGUUUCCAUUAAUACUGGGAGCUCAUGACGGUACCGUAAGAAUAAGCACCGGCUAACUACGUG